This 571-nucleotide long non-coding RNA is filed under the name Phoenix dactylifera (date palm). RNAcentral describes it as "long non-coding RNA (PDAC_LNC020488)". Lineage: Eukaryota; Viridiplantae; Streptophyta; Magnoliopsida; Arecales; Arecaceae. The record is from RNAcentral.
AAACCUCCUCAAUCAAGUCGAGAGUGAACCGACAUGAGCAAGUCAUAUUAGAUUAAUUGAUCUAAUUGGUGUCUAGGAAAGCAUGAAAGGCGGUUACUUAAUUAGGACCUUACUCUCUGAGUAAGGGGAGCCUCCCACCUGCUUACCUGGCCAAUUGUUCGAUUACCUCUUAUGAAGGGCUCAAGUUGCAAACACUAAGAGCUGAUUAACCAAUAUUAAGUCAAUAGGUCUUCCACUGUAGUAGAGCUGCUAAAGCCUUUCUGAUGUUGAUUUGUCUCGGCUGGACACAGUGGUCAAGUUGCAUCGGGGGGGCUGGACCUCUCUAUAGACAUGAGAUGUUGUAGGGUAAAGGUGGGGUUGGGCACCAAUAACUGUUAGGUGAGGACCCAAUGACGACUUUAUUCCUACGGUUGUACAGUGGGUCUGACUUAACUAAGAAAUGGGACCAAUAACUGUUAGGUGAGGUUUUCAUGGCUUAGAGACCAAGUUACACUGCAACAUGCUUGAGAAGCAUUGUACAAGAGUUGUACACUCAUCCAUCUAUGUGUCACCAAUAACUGUUAGGUGAGGU